RNAcentral lists this ribosomal RNA (601 nucleotides) under uncultured soil bacterium. RNAcentral describes it as "bacterial SSU rRNA". It matches the Rfam family "Bacterial small subunit ribosomal RNA", at positions 35 to 649 of the family's 1533-position model. The record is from RNAcentral.
GCUGGCGGCGUGCUUCAUACAUGCAAGUCGAGCGUGAACCCGGGCUUGCCCUGGGGGAAAGCGGCGAACGGGUGAGUAACACGUGGGCAACCAACCCCAGCCUCUGGGAUAACCUCGGGAAACCGGGGCUAAUACCGGAUACUCUCGAAGGGUCGCAUGGCCCAACGAGGAAAGCUCCGGCGGACUGGGACGGGCCCGCGGCCUAUCAGCUUGUUGGCGGGGUAAUGGCCCACCAAGGCAUCGACGGGUAGCUGGCGUGAGAGCGUGACCAGCCACACUGGGACUGAGACACGGCCCAGACUCCUACGGGAGGCAGCAGUAGGGAAUCUUGCGCAAUGGGCGAAAGCCUGACGCAGCGACGCCGCGUGGGGGAUGAAGGCUCUUGGGUCGUAAACCCCUUUCGGCAGGGAAGAAGCGAAAGUGACGGUACCUGCAGAAGAAGCCCCGGCCAACUACGUGCCAGCAGCCGCGGUAACACGUAGGGGGCGAGCGUUGUCCGGAUUCAUUGGGCGUAAAGCGCGCGCAGGCGGCUCGGAAAGUCGGGUGUGAAAACCUGGGGCUCAACCCCGGGCGUGCAUCCGAUACUGCCGGGCUUGAGGCA